CUGACCUUUACACUGUCACGUUGAUCAUUGAGUGUGGUCUUUCCUGGGAGAGGCACGCCCUGUUUGAGGCCUCGAUCUGCAGCUGAGGCUAACCCUUAAGUGGCUGGCAGCUUGAAGCUGUCCACUGGGCCCUCCCAACAGCAGGGGUAAAAAGUGCGGGAUGUGGGUAGCACACACCUGUGUCCAUCACAUGGAGCGUGUGAAGCGCAAUCACCAGAAUGUAGUGGCUGAGGCAGGGGACCUGAGAUUCUAACUGCUUCCUAUUAGGACUCUUGACCAGGGUCCUGUUUUCUUCAUGAUUUUCACACUGCCCCUUGGCACCUGGACUCUGAGCUCUUCUGGGCUGCUGUAUGUGAGAACCGGCUCAUGACUCAUGAGCAUCGUCCUCUGCAGGUGCAGAGAUUUCAGAGUUUCCACUCUGCUAGUGAAUUAGAAAUGAGGGUGCUGCUUAUCUCUUUCAAUUGUUGAGGAUGCUUUGAUAUUUCCGUCCCACAACUAUUCUCCUCUCCAAAAAUUCUUUGUUACCUUGUUCUUUUACAAUUUUAAACACCCUUUUGGAGCUCUUUUCAAAGAGUUUUUUCAGGAAAGAAAUAACGAUGUCACAGGUGAAACAGGCUUAGUCUAAAGAGGAAGGAAGCUUGUCUCUCCAAUUACCUUCCCUGCAGACUCUUGGCCUGGAUCGAUGCAAUCAGCCUGGUCUUGACCGGUGCCUACCCUGCAGAGCAGUGCAGGAACUACCACCGGGUCACGUGGCAUCGCUGUCUGGGACACCGUGCUGUGGGUCACAGGGCCCUGUGCUCUUCUACUUUUGUGACUCUGAUGUUUUCUUCAAGCACAAAGAUUUCGUUUCAGGAAAAAGGAUGGAGGAGUUAACACGGCAGACCAGAGGAGACGUUUCACCACAGGCUGUCCUCACCGUGUCAACAACACUGCCUCCAGCCUCCUCUCUGGUUUCAGUUCUCUCCUGCGGUUGAAUUGAAGUGGCUUCUAUGUGGUCCACACCACAGCACAUUUUGAGUGGAUUCCUCGCUAAAAACGCUAUUUGGAAUCCUUGUGCUGAAACUCAAAAUCCCGAGAAAUGUGCCCAGAUUCAGAGUUUUCAGUCUUGCUGGCUGAGCUGUAGGAGACAGACAUU
This 1135-nucleotide long non-coding RNA is filed under the name Equus caballus (horse). RNAcentral's name for it is "lncRNA (ENSECAG00000047641.1)". Lineage: Eukaryota; Metazoa; Chordata; Mammalia; Perissodactyla; Equidae. The record is from RNAcentral.